GUGCUUGCUUCAGCAGCACAUAUACUAAAAUUGGAAUAAUACAAAGGAGAUUAGCAUGGCCCCUGCACAAGGAUAACACACAAAUUCGUGAAGCGUUCCAUAUCUUU
RNAcentral lists this small nuclear RNA (107 nucleotides) under Jaculus jaculus (lesser Egyptian jerboa). The record is from RNAcentral. Lineage: Eukaryota; Metazoa; Chordata; Mammalia; Rodentia; Dipodidae.